This 262-nucleotide ribosomal RNA is filed under the name uncultured prokaryote. Its description in RNAcentral is "partial 16S ribosomal RNA". It matches the Rfam family "Bacterial small subunit ribosomal RNA", at positions 524 to 784 of the family's 1533-position model. The record is from RNAcentral.
UACGUAGGGGGCAAGCGUUAUCCGGAUUUACUGGGUGUAAAGGGAGCGCAGACGGAACUGCAAGUCUGAUGUGAAAGCCCGGGGCUCAACCGCGGGACUGCAUCGGAUACUGUAGAUCUGGAGUGCUGGAGGGGCAAGCGGAAUUCCUGGUGUAGCGGUGAAAUGCGUAGAUAUCAGGAGGAACACCGGCGGCGAAGGCGGCUUGCUUGGACGGCAACUGACGUUGAGGCUCGAAAGCGUGGGGAGCAAACAGGAUUAGAUA